RNAcentral lists this ribosomal RNA (460 nucleotides) under uncultured bacterium. Its description in RNAcentral is "partial 16S ribosomal RNA". It matches the Rfam family "Bacterial small subunit ribosomal RNA", at positions 338 to 795 of the family's 1533-position model. The record is from RNAcentral.
CCUACGGGAGGCAGCAGUGAGGAAUAUUGGUCAAUGGACGAGAGUCUGAACCAGCCAAGCCGCGUGAAGGAUGACUGCCCUAUGAGUCGUAAACUUCUUUUAUAAGGGGAUAAAAUCUGAGACGCGUGGCCGUUUGAAAGUACCAUACGAAUAAGGAUCGGCUAACUCCGUGCCAGCAGCCGCGGUAAUACGGAGGGGGCGAGCGUUAUCCGGAUUUAUUGGGUUUAAAGGGUGCGUAGACGGGCGUGCAAGUUAGAGGUGAAAGCCCGGGGCCCAACCCCGGGACUGCCCUUGAGACUGCAUGGCUAGAGUGCGGGAGAGGUAUGCGGAAUGCGUGGUGUAGCGGUGAAAUGCGUAGAUAUCAGGAAGAACACCGACGGCGAAGGCAGCCUGCUGGGCCGCGACUGACGUUGAGGCACGAAAGCGUGGGGAGCGAACAGGAUUAGAUACCCUAGUAGUC